This 561-nucleotide ribosomal RNA is filed under the name Phleum pratense subsp. bertolonii. RNAcentral's name for it is "eukaryotic LSU rRNA". The stretch from base 190 to 345 matches the Rfam family "5.8S ribosomal RNA". Lineage: Eukaryota; Viridiplantae; Streptophyta; Magnoliopsida; Poales; Poaceae. The record is from RNAcentral.
UUAUCUAGCCUGCCGGCGGCGGCNACGUCCGUCGUUGGCCAAAGUCCUCGAUAACCUCCUCUCUUCGGAGCGGGGGAUCGGGGUAAAAGAACCCACGGCGCCUAAGGCGUCAAGGAACACUAUGCCUAAUGCGGGGAUGCGGCUGGCUUGCUAGCCGUCCCUCGUGUUGCAAUGCUAUUUAAUCCACACGACUCUCGGCAACGGAUAUCUCGGCUCUCGCAUCGAUGAAGAACGUAGCGAAAUGCGAUACCUGGUGUGAAUUGCAGAAUCCCGCGAACCAUCGAGUCUUUGAACGCAAGUUGCGCCCGAGGCCACCUGGCCNAGGGCACGCCUGCCUGGGCGUCACGCCAAACACGCUCCCAACCCCUNAUCGGGAGUGGGAUGCGGCUUGUGGCCCCCCNUCUCGCAAGGGGCGGUGGGCCGAAGAUGCGGCUGCCGGCGUAUCGUGUCNGACACAGCGCGUGGUGGGCGACCUCUCUUUACUUACCGCAGUGCAUCCGGCCCGUANCCGAUGUGAUGGCCUUGAAGGACCCUAUAAACGGAGCGCAUGACGCUUCGACC